GCUAGUCCGCGUGACCUGGCGGGUGUUGGAACGCAAAGGGCUGGAACGUCCCGGGCUGCGGAGGUCAUUUGGUUGGGAUGAACUCGUUCAGACUUGAGUGCUAGGACGCCGAAGGGGGCGUGAGGCGUCCCGGCGCGGGACUGGGGUUGUCUGCAGUUUAAAAGUCAUGUGGCUCUCGGAGAUGUGCGGACUGCAUUCCCGGGCUUCACCGCUAAGGGAGCUCUGGGCUGUGCGAUGGGGAAGGAAGAGGGUGUCGGGGCAGUGCAGUCGGGAUGGGAGGAGAGUGUCAGGGCUACUGGCCCCCGGCUCGGGAGAGGGCAGUGUGGGGCCGCGCGACUGCAAGGAGUGGGUGUGGUGUGAGGCUGGCGCAGGAGCGGGCUGGGAAUGUUAGGAGGUCUGGGGUAUCGCGGCCCUGCGUUCUCUUGGCUGGACUAAAAGUCUGUGCAGUUCUCCCCGGACCUGGAUUGUGCGCCCAGCGACAGGUGCUUGGCAAUCUGUGCUCGAUGUGCCCGCGAGGCUGUGGUGGGAGCCCUGUCUGCACGGGAUUCUGUGUGGCUGAGCAUAACCCAGAAGAGGAGAGAACUGCUGUGCAUCUGAAGUGAUGGCAGAGGUGUGAUCUUGUUGAAUCCACGUAACAACCCUAUUAGACAGAUUGGGAGUUUGGAAGAGAAACCAAGAAUUUAUCUCCAAAGGAAAACAUUUAUGAAAUUAGAUCACCGCAACAGGAGAGGGUCAGAGUUAUCAGAGAAAUCAGAUGCCAGGUAGACAGACAACAGGGUCUCCAGGAGGGACAUUUCAGACAAGCUGUAAUACCAUUUACUUCCAUGCAGUGCACAGCCCAUAGAGAACAUCAGUGGAUUCAUACUGGAGAGAAAUCCUGUGAAUGCAGGAAAUGUAAGAAUGCUUUCAGGUGCCAGUCAUGUCCUAUUCAACAUGAAAUAAUUCAUAAUAAGGAAAAAGACCCUGACUGUGGAGAAUGUAGGAAAAUCUUUAAUAGUGGAUCAGACUUGAU
Long non-coding RNA from Rhinopithecus roxellana (golden snub-nosed monkey), 1012 nucleotides. RefSeq lists it as uncharacterized. NCBI's taxonomy places the organism in Eukaryota, Metazoa, Chordata, Mammalia, Primates, Cercopithecidae. The record is from RefSeq and is a predicted model, not a curated record. The transcript is spliced from 4 exons.